This 229-nucleotide ribosomal RNA is filed under the name uncultured bacterium. RNAcentral describes it as "partial 16S ribosomal RNA". It matches the Rfam family "Bacterial small subunit ribosomal RNA", at positions 104 to 334 of the family's 1533-position model. The record is from RNAcentral.
CGGGGUGAGUAAUGUCUGGGAAACUGCCUGAUGGGGGGGGAUAACUGCUGGAAACGGUAGCUAAUACCGCAUAACGUCGCAAGACCAAAGAGGGGGACCUUCGGGCCUCUUGCCAUCGGAUGUGCCCAGAUGGGAUUAGCUAGUAGGUGGGGUAACGGCUCACCUAGGCGACGAUCCCUAGCUGGUCUGAGAGGAUGACCAGCCACACUGGAACUGAGACACGGUCCAG